CCUACGGGAGGCAGCAGUGGGGAAUAUUGCACAAUGGGCGCAAGCCUGAUGCAGCAACGCCGCGUGAGGGACGACGGCCUUCGGGUUGUAAACCUCUUUUAGUAGGGAAGAAGCGAAAGUGACGGUACCUGCAGAAAAAGCACCGGCUAACUACGUGCCAGCAGCCGCGGUAAUACGUAGGGUGCAAGCGUUAUCCGGAAUUAUUGGGCGUAAAGAGCUCGUAGGCGGUUUGUCACGUCUGCUGUGAAAACUGGAGGCUCAACCUCCAGCCUGCAGUGGGUACGGGCAGACUAGAGUGCGGUAGGGGAGAUUGGAAUUCCUGGUGUAGCGGUGGAAUGCGCAGAUAUCAGGAGGAACACCGAUGGCGAAGGCAGAUCUCUGGGCCGUAACUGACGCUGAGGAGCGAAAGCAUGGGGAGCGAACAGGAUUAGAUACCCUGGUAGUCCAUGCCGUAAACGUUGGGAACUAGAUGUAGGGACCAUUCCACGGUUUCUGUGUCGCAGCUAACGCAUUAAGUUCCCCGCCUGGGGAGUACGGCCGCAAGGCUAAAACUCAAAUGAAUUGACGG
This 568-nucleotide ribosomal RNA is filed under the name uncultured bacterium. RNAcentral describes it as "bacterial SSU rRNA". It matches the Rfam family "Bacterial small subunit ribosomal RNA", at positions 338 to 916 of the family's 1533-position model. The record is from RNAcentral.